Cephus cinctus (wheat stem sawfly) is the source of this 1811-nucleotide long non-coding RNA. RefSeq lists it as uncharacterized. The transcript has 3 exons. Lineage: Eukaryota; Metazoa; Arthropoda; Insecta; Hymenoptera; Cephidae. The record is from RefSeq and is a predicted model, not a curated record.
AAAUCAUCAAGUCAUGAUAUCACCACGUUCGUACACUCGCGUAAUAACGACGAAUCGAGCGUCGAUUGUUCUUUUCACUAGACACUUCGAAACUCUCGUAAAAUCAUCGUCCGCGUACACUUCACUCGGUCGCGUUUCCAUGAAUGCGCCAAAGACGGUUUACCAUCCUACGAAACGAAGCAACAGUCUGCGUCACUGGCGCAAGCGAACACGCGAGCGCUCGGACAAAUAAACAAUAAGAAAGCAAUAACUCUCCGGGAGGCGUUUUUGGCAGCUGUCAAAAUCGCUGGAGUGACGUUGCUUUAAACUCUCUAGUUAGCGUUGCGCACUGCGCGGGAGCUGUCAACAGAAUGAGCCGACCCGCUGGGAGCCACGGGUCGGGCAAGAGGCACAGAUAAAAAGAAUGAGCCGAGCACGGCCGACCGUUCCCGAGCAUCCACGAAGCGACUCGACGCGUUGGAUCGGCGACAGGUCAGAGCCUGUCAACUUAGUUUCAACUCAGAUCCGAAGCCACGAUCAGUACAACCUUAGUGGAUAUAAUGAAGCACGUAUGACAUGACGUAUCAUAUUAAUAUACGAUAGAUAAUUAAGAAUAUAAAGAAUCGAGGAGAUACGACGAGAAUAAACUUAUAAGACAUUAACGUACGGCAUAAACAUUAUUGUUUUUGUUUGUUUGGUCGUUGACGCGUACUGUUAUGGCGACCAUUAAAGUCACGACCUUCUAUUAAUAACGAUCCGUAAGAAGCACACGUACUCGUUCCAACGACAGCGAUUCACGUUAGCAGGUUUAUCCAAGGGCGGUAUUUUCAAUUAGAUCGAAAGAACAGAAAACACGAGGUUGGCGGGUGAUCGUUAACGAUCUUGAAAGCUCCCGGAAUCCAAGACUCCAGCACGCAUCCCAUCGAAGGUGAAGGUUUCUCUCCUUCUCCGCCAACCACGAAAGCCGUUUAUUAUACAACCUGUAUAAAAGCGAGCAACGAGGCGUGAGCCGAUCAUUUUUUUUAACGGUUUCCGUCGAACCAACCGAGAGAGAGGUUAUGCCCACCCGGUCCUCCUUUUUCGCAUUCUCGGAUAAUAACAGGCCUUACCCGCAUCGAGCGAUCGUUCGUCCCAACCAAGAAAACCGGCACAGCCUCUGGCGUUUGUCCUAGGUACUGGCAGCUAAUCAGACUACUUGCAGUCAGUUUAUCCACGUCCCAAACAGAAGAGAUUUUUGGACUUUAUUAACAGGUCAAGGGUUCGUUUCCGGCUUCAGCCUCCCUUCUGCCAAUGACUGCUACUGAUAUUAUCGUACACGCGACUUCUUCCUAUUGAAACGAGAGAAACUGACGAAUUCGCGAACGGUCAACUUUCAAAACUCCAUUUGGCCUUAGUAGAAACGCACGGCUUGACGUGGCCGGAGUAAUAUGACAAUCAAAUACUUUUUUCAUAGCGAAUACGUCACGUCCUUUAUGUCAGGAGCUGCACGCUCGAGGGUGUUAUUAAUCCAAUACACACACAUAUAUAUAUACACGUAUAUAUACGUACUAAACCUAUAUGCUUAAUAAUAAUUAUUGGUUCUCAACGAACAUCGUACUAAAAUGGACAAUGGGACAAAAACAGUAAAACAACUUGAACUCGAUUUCUUUACACCGCAUUGUUCAAUGAAAUAUCCUUCCGCUGUUGGGAUGGGAAUAUUUUUUUUUAACGAUAAGUGUCAUUCACCGUGACACGAUUGCAGUUAUCGGGGUUAUCGAUGCGCUUCCGUUCCGCGAAACCAUAUGCAAAUACGCACGCCCACACUGUAUGAAAUUUGCAUUCGUCAUUGUUAU